RNAcentral lists this long non-coding RNA (224 nucleotides) under Elaeis guineensis (African oil palm). Its description in RNAcentral is "long non-coding RNA (EGUI_LNC012123)". Lineage: Eukaryota; Viridiplantae; Streptophyta; Magnoliopsida; Arecales; Arecaceae. The record is from RNAcentral.
UCCACACCCUCCAUAAAUGUAAGCAUCCAAUGAACUUCUUGAAUCGUGCCUCUCAGAGGAUGGCCACAGUGGUGCUUGGCAUUAAAACUCUUCAUCCUGCCAGGGCAUAUUGCCCGAGACACUUUCUAAUGUGGCCUCAUCCAAAGAAAAUCCAACCCACACCAGCCUUGGAGAUCAGAAGGUCCAACUGAAGCUUCGGUCGCCAAUGCCAUAGUAAACUAAGA